This 77-nucleotide transfer RNA is filed under the name bacterium. RNAcentral describes it as "tRNA-Cys". It matches the Rfam family "tRNA". Rfam says of the family: Transfer RNA (tRNA) molecules are approximately 80 nucleotides in length. Their secondary structure includes four short double-helical elements and three loops (D, anti-codon, and T loops). Further hydrogen bonds mediate the characteristic L-shaped molecular structure. tRNAs have two regions of fundamental functional importance: the anti-codon, which is responsible for specific mRNA codon recognition, and the 3' end, to which the tRNAs corresponding amino acid is attached (by aminoacyl-tRNA synthetases). tRNAs cope with the degeneracy of the genetic code in two manners: having more than one tRNA (with a specific anti-codon) for a particular amino acid; and 'wobble' base-pairing, i.e. permitting non-standard base-pairing at the 3rd anti-codon position. The record is from RNAcentral.
GGCCGGGUACCAGAGUAGUUAAUGGCCAGGUCUGCAAAACCUUGGAUUCGUGGGUGCAAGUCCCAUCCCGGCCUCAA